Molecule: ribosomal RNA, 424 nt
Filed under: uncultured cyanobacterium
Lineage: Bacteria; Bacillati; Cyanobacteriota
Description: bacterial SSU rRNA
Rfam family: Bacterial small subunit ribosomal RNA
Source: RNAcentral
GGGGAAUUUUCCGCAAUGGGCGAAAGCCUGACGGAGCAACGCCGCGUGAGGGAGGAAGGUCUUUGGAUUGUAAACCUCUUUUCUCAAGGAAGAAGUUCUGACGGUACUUGAGGAAUCAGCCUCGGCUAACUCCGUGCCAGCAGCCGCGGUUAUACGGGGGAGGCAAGCGUUAUCCGGAAUUAUUGGGCGUAAAGCGUCCGCAGGUGGUCAGCCAAGUCUGCUGUCAAAUCAGGUUGCUUAACGACCUAAGGGCGGUGGAAACUGGCAGACUAGAGAGCAGUAGGGGUAGCAGGAAUUCCCAGUGUAGCGGUGAAAUGCGUAGAGAUUGGGAAGAACAUCGGUGGCGAAAGCGUGCUACUGGGCUGUAUCUGACACUCAGGGACGAAAGCUAGGGGAGCGAAAGGGAUUAGAUACCCCUGUAGUC